This 253-nucleotide ribosomal RNA is filed under the name uncultured bacterium. RNAcentral describes it as "partial 16S ribosomal RNA". It matches the Rfam family "Bacterial small subunit ribosomal RNA", at positions 524 to 776 of the family's 1533-position model. The record is from RNAcentral.
GACGAACCGUCCAAACGUUAUUCGGAAUCACUGGGCUUAAAGGGUGCGUAGGCGGCCCGGUAAGUUGUGCGUGAAAGCCCUCGGCUCAACCGAGGAAUAGCGCGCAAAACUACCGGGCUUGAGGGAGACAGAGGUAAGCGGAACUUAGGGUGGAGCGGUGAAAUGCGUUGAUAUCCUAAGGAACACCAGGAGCGAAGGCGGCUUACUGGGUCUCUUCUGACGCUGAGGCACGAAAGCUAGGGGAGCGAACGGG